UACGGAGGGUGCAAGCGUUGUCCGGAUUUAUUGGGCGUAAAGGGUGCGUAGGCGGCCCGUUAAGUCAGUGGUGAAAGCCUCCAGCUCAACUGGAGAACUGCCAUUGAUACUGACGGGCUUGAGUACAGACGAGGUAGGCGGAAUUGAUUGUGUAGCGGUGAAAUGCAUAGAUACAAUCAAGAACUCCGAUUGCGUAGGCAGCUUACUAGGCUGUAACUGACGCUGAGGCACGAAAGCGUGGGGAGCGAACAGG
This 253-nucleotide ribosomal RNA is filed under the name uncultured bacterium. Its description in RNAcentral is "partial 16S ribosomal RNA". It matches the Rfam family "Bacterial small subunit ribosomal RNA", at positions 524 to 776 of the family's 1533-position model. The record is from RNAcentral.